RNAcentral lists this ribosomal RNA (497 nucleotides) under uncultured bacterium. Its description in RNAcentral is "partial 16S ribosomal RNA". It matches the Rfam family "Bacterial small subunit ribosomal RNA", at positions 28 to 507 of the family's 1533-position model. The record is from RNAcentral.
GAUGAACGCUGGCGGCGUGCCUAAUACAUGCAAGUCGAGCGAACGGACGAGAAUCUUGCGUCUCUGAUGUUAGCGGCGGAAGGGUGAGUAACACGUGGAUAACCUACCUAUAAGACUGGGAUAACUUCGGGAAACCGGAGCUAAUACCGGAUAAUAUUUUGAACCGCAUGGUUCAAAAGUAAAAGACGGUCUUGCUGUCACUUAUAGAUGGAUCCGCGCUGCAUUAGCUAGUUGGUAAGGUAACGGCUUACCAAGGCAACGAUGCAUAGCCGACGUGAGAGGGUGAUAGGCCGCACUGGAAGGGGGACGCGGACCAGGCUACUGCGGGAGGCACCAGUAGGGAACCUUCCGCAAUGGGCGAAAGCCUUGCGGAACGGGCCCACGUGAGUGAUAGAGGUCUUCGGAUCGUAAAACUCUGUUAUUGGGGAAGAACAUAUGUGUAAGUAACUGUGCACAUCUUGACGGUACCUAAUCAGAAAGCCCCGGCUAACUACGUG